CGCCCUGUAGCUCAGUGGAUAGAGCACUCGCCUCCUACUGCGUCCAGCAAGUUAGCGAGGGGUCGCAGGUUCGAUCCCUGCCUGGGUCG
Molecule: transfer RNA, 89 nt
Organism: Fonticula alba
Lineage: Eukaryota; Rotosphaerida; Fonticulaceae
Rfam family: tRNA
About the family: Transfer RNA (tRNA) molecules are approximately 80 nucleotides in length.
Source: Rfam